GGCCGACUAGCUCAGUUGGUUAGAGCGUCGUGCUAAUACAAGCUGGGCCUUAAGUAUUAACGCGAAGGUCUUGGGUUCGAUCCCCACGUUGGCCA
Molecule: non-coding RNA, 95 nt
Organism: Desarmillaria tabescens
Lineage: Eukaryota; Fungi; Basidiomycota; Agaricomycetes; Agaricales; Physalacriaceae
Source: the annotation of a RefSeq genome assembly